RNAcentral lists this ribosomal RNA (625 nucleotides) under Pseudomonas veronii. Its description in RNAcentral is "bacterial SSU rRNA". It matches the Rfam family "Bacterial small subunit ribosomal RNA", at positions 60 to 680 of the family's 1533-position model. The record is from RNAcentral. Lineage: Bacteria; Pseudomonadati; Pseudomonadota; Gammaproteobacteria; Pseudomonadales; Pseudomonadaceae.
AGUCGAGCGGUAGAGAGAAGCUUGCUUCUCUUGAGAGCGGCGGACGGGUGAGUAAUGCCUAGGAAUCUGCCUGGUAGUGGGGGAUAACGUUCGGAAACGGACGCUAAUACCGCAUACGUCCUACGGGAGAAAGCAGGGGACCUUCGGGCCUUGCGCUAUCAGAUGAGCCUAGGUCGGAUUAGCUAGUUGGUGAGGUAAUGGCUCACCAAGGCGACGAUCCGUAACUGGUCUGAGAGGAUGAUCAGUCACACUGGAACUGAGACACGGUCCAGACUCCUACGGGAGGCAGCAGUGGGGAAUAUUGGACAAUGGGCGAAAGCCUGAUCCAGCCAUGCCGCGUGUGUGAAGAAGGUCUUCGGAUUGUAAAGCACUUUAAGUUGGGAGGAAGGGCAGUUACCUAAUACGUGAUUGUUUUGACGUUACCGACAGAAUAAGCACCGGCUAACUCUGUGCCAGCAGCCGCGGUAAUACAGAGGGUGCAAGCGUUAAUCGGAAUUACUGGGCGUAAAGCGCGCGUAGGUGGUUAGUUAAGUUGGAUGUGAAAUCCCCGGGCUCAACCUGGGAACUGCAUUCAAAACUGACUGACUAGAGUAUGGUAGAGGGUGGUGGAAUUUCCUGUGUAGCG